Molecule: ribosomal RNA, 407 nt
Filed under: uncultured Glomeromycotina
Lineage: Eukaryota; Fungi; Glomeromycota
Description: SSU rRNA
Rfam family: Eukaryotic small subunit ribosomal RNA
Source: RNAcentral
UGUUGGUUUCUCCCUUCUGACGAACCAUGAUGUCAUUUAUUUGGUGUUGUGGGGAAUCAGGACUGUUACCUUGAAAAAAUUAGAGUGUUUAAAGCAGGCUCACGCUUGAAUACAUUAGCAUGGAAUAAUGAAAUAGGACGUUUGAUUCUAUUUUGUUGGUUUCUAGGAUCGACGUAAUGAUUAAUAGGGAUAGUUGGGGGCAUUAGUAUUCAAUUGUCAGAGGUGAAAUUCUUGGAUUUAUUGAAGACUAACUACUGCGAAAGCAUUUGCCAAGGAUGUUUUCAUUAAUCAAGAACGAAAGUUAGGGGAUCGAAGACGAUCAGAUACCGUCGUAGUCUUAACCAUAAACUAUGCCGACUAGGGAUCGGAUGAUGUUAAUUUUUUAAUGACUCAUUCGGCGCCUUACG